Molecule: ribosomal RNA, 885 nt
Filed under: uncultured bacterium
Lineage: Bacteria
Also listed under: 1 other name
Description: bacterial SSU rRNA
Rfam family: Bacterial small subunit ribosomal RNA
Source: RNAcentral
UGGAUCCAGACUUUGAUUAUGGCUCAGGACGAACGCUGGCGGCGCGCCUAACACAUGCAAGUCGAACGAGCGAGAGAGAGCUUGCUUUCUCGGGCGAGUGGCGAACGGGUGAGUAACGCGUGAGGAACCUGCCUCAAAGAGGGGGACAACAGUUGGAAACGACUGCUAAUACCGCAUAAGCCCACGGGUCGGCAUCGACCAGAGGGAAAAGGAGUAAUCCGCUUUGAGAUGGCCUCGCGUCCGAUUAGCUAGUUGGUGAGGUAAUGGCCCACCAAGGCAACGAUCGGUAGCCGGACUGAGAGGUUGAACGGCCACAUUGGGACUGAGACACGGCCCAGACUCCUACGGGAGGCAGCAGUGGGGAAUAUUGCACAAUAGGGGAAACCCUGAUGCAGCGACGCCGCGUGGAGGAAGAAGGUCUUCGGAUUGUAAACUCCUGUUGUUGGGGAAGAUAAUGACGGUACCCAACAAGGAAGUGACGGCUAACUACGUGCCAGCAGCCGCGGUAAAACGUAGGUCACAAGCGUUGUCCGGAAUUACUGGGUGUAAAGGGAGCGCAGGCGGGAAGACAAGUUGGAAGUGAAAUCUAUGGGCUCAACCCGUAAACUGCUUUCAAAACUGUUUUUCUUGAGUAGUGCAGAGGUAGGCGGAAUUCCCGGUGUAGCGGUGGAAUGCGUAGAUAUCGGGAGGAACACCAGUGGCGAAGGCGGCCUACUGGGCACCAACUGACGCUGAGGCUCGAAAGUGUGGGUAGCAAACAGGAUUAGAUACCCUGGUAGUCCACACCGUAAACGAUGAUUACUAGGUGUUGGAGGAUUGACCCCUUCAGUGCCGCAGUUAACACAAUAAGUAAUCCACCUGGGGAGUACGACCGCAAGGUUGCAA